CAGGCCUAACACAUGCAAGUCGAGCGGUAACAGGGGGUGCUUGCACCCCGCUGACGAGCGGCGGACGGGUGAGUAAUGCAUAGGAAACUGCCCAGUAGUGGGGGAUAGCCCGGGGAAACCCGGAUUAAUACCGCGUACGCCCUUCGGGGGAAAGCAGGGGAUCUUCGGACCUUGCGCUAUUGGAUGUGCCUAUGUCGGAUUAGCUAGUUGGUGGGGUAAAGGCCUACCAAGGCGACGAUCCGUAGCUGGUCUGAGAGGAUGAUCAGCCACAUCGGGACUGAGACACGGCCCGAACUCCUACGGGAGGCAGCAGUGGGGAAUAUUGGACAAUGGGGGCAACCCUGAUCCAGCCAUGCCGCGUGUGUGAAGAAGGCUUUCGGGUUGUAAAGCACUUUCAGUGAGGAGGAAAAGUUGGUCGUUAAUACCGGCCAGCCUUGACGUUACUCACAGAAGAAGCACCGGCUAACUCCGUGCCAGCAGCCGCGGUAAUACGGAGGGUGCAAGCGUUAAUCGGAAUUACUGGGCGUAAAGCGCGCGUAGGUGGUUUGAUAAGCGAGAUGUGAAAGCCCCGGGCUUAACCUGGGAACGGCAUUUCGAACUGUCAGGCUAGAGUAUGGUAGAGGAGUGUGGAAUUUCCUGUGUAGCGGUG
Molecule: ribosomal RNA, 649 nt
Filed under: uncultured bacterium
Lineage: Bacteria
Description: bacterial SSU rRNA
Rfam family: Bacterial small subunit ribosomal RNA
Source: RNAcentral